CCCCUGGCGGGCAGGGGCCGAGGUGCAGCCUGCUGGGCUGCUCGGGCCUCGCUCCCUCAGGGACUUGCGGUGGCACUUUCUGACAUCCCGCCGUGAGGGACAGAGACCACAAUACCCAGCCCCUGAGCAGAAGCUCGUGUCCCACACAGAGCCGUCAGUGCCUGGACGACACGGGGGAGACGACCGCUCAGGACGGUGUAGACGGGACGCUGGGCUCCGCCAUGGGUCUUCACUCCGGAGCAGACGGCAUCUCGUCGGUCGCACAGAGUCACGAUCGUGGUGGCAGAAGUCGUGAGGAACCGUCCCGAGACCUCUCGGUUCCCCGUCCCCUCAUCUUCAUCCCUGCCUGUCACUCGGGGGAUGGAGCCAGCGCAGAGCAGCAAAGACAAGGAAAGGAAAGGCAGAGCAGCCGCUUGUCCCGAGUGCCGAGGACCUGCUGACGAGGCUUGCCGGCCAGGAGCCACCGCCAGGCCAGCCGCCAGCGUGCAGCUCUGCCGCCGCGGUCCCAGCACUCGGCAGCCUUCUAUGAACCCGCGUGCACAUGGCUGUCUGCUGGACCGGCCUCCCUUGUAGGCCACUGCCCGCUGACCGUCCCCUCCUCGCGUCCCGCCCCUCCCCCUGCCUGGAACCACAGGUAGAAGGCUCGCCUGGAGGGACAGCCCUAAGCAUUUGGGCACACACCCUGGAGCCUUGACUCUCCUCUGACCUUGCCCGCGACGCCAGGAGGUCCUGUCACACCUGAUGCCUCCCUGGAGCCUGCCUUCCCCGGCCACAGCCUCGUCCUGCGACCUCACCUCCGAGAUCCAGCCAGCCCCAUCCCUCUCGCUCCUCACCAACCGCCCCGCAGCCUCCGCCUCCACCAUCCACACAGAGGCGGGGCUUCCUGUGGCUCCCCCAUGUGGGGCCUGCCCCCUCCCGCCCGCGGGGCAUCCCUGCCUCAGGGCCUCUGCACCUGCUCCUGGCCCUGGAAGGGCCCCUCCGCUCCCUGACUGACCCUCACGCUCCUCCCCUCUCAGUGCAGCCAGGCCAUCUGGCCACAGCUCCCCGGACACUCGCAUGGAGUCCUAGUUGACACCGUCUCCUGGAGAGUGGAU
RNAcentral lists this long non-coding RNA (1094 nucleotides) under Equus caballus (horse). Its description in RNAcentral is "lncRNA (ENSECAG00000045519.1)". Lineage: Eukaryota; Metazoa; Chordata; Mammalia; Perissodactyla; Equidae. The record is from RNAcentral.